Molecule: RNA transcript, 1441 nt
Organism: Betta splendens (Siamese fighting fish)
Lineage: Eukaryota; Metazoa; Chordata; Actinopteri; Anabantiformes; Osphronemidae
Gene: ccnh
Gene name: cyclin H
Exons: 10
Source: RefSeq, a predicted model, not a curated record
GUCCGGCGCAGUUACGGCAUUGUAGACGUCAUCAAAAGCCGACGGCUGUGACGUAAGAAAGCGACGACGCUUCUAGUUGUUAGCAAAGUUGGUAGGUGCUCUUUUAUAGAUUCGUGAGAAAUUAAAUCGGUUGUUUGGUCCACGGCUGUUAGGCUUUUCACCAGGUCACUGCCGUGGAUGGACUAGUGCAAGUUUGAACAUACGCCCUUUUGGACAGUUCCGCCGCUCUUCUCUUCUAAACGCAGUCAUGUUCCACAACAGCUCUCAGAGGAAAUACUGGAUUUUCAGAAGCGAAGAGGAACUGGAGCAAAUGAGACGUAAAGCCAACCAGAAAUUCCGCAACAAGUUACUAGAAAGUGGGAAGUCUGGAGUACGUGAAUCCAUGUUCCUGGAGCGUCAUGAGGAAGACAUGCUGUUCAGAUACUACGAGAGGAGGCUUUUGGAUUUGUGCAACGCCUUUAAGCCUGCUAUGCCGAAGUCUGUGGUGGGCACAGCCAUCAUGUACUUCCGAAGAUUCUACCUCAACAAUUCCAUUAUGGAGUAUCACCCCAGGAUCAUCAUGCUGACAUGUGCGUACCUGUCCUGUAAAGUAGAUGAGUUCAAUGUGUCCAGCGCCCAGUUUGUAGGCAACCUUCUGCAGGAGACCCCGGCAGGACAGGAAAGGGUUCUGGAGCAAAUUCUAGAAUAUGAGCUGCUGCUCAUCCAACAGCUUAAUUUCCAUCUGGUGGUGCACAACCCCUACAGACCCAUGGAAGGCCUGCUCAUUGACCUCAAGACACGAUACCCUGCGCUGGAAAGCCCAGAGUCACUGAGGAAGAACGUAGAUGACUUUUUGACACAGGCAGCCAUGACAGAUGCAGGGCUGCUGUUUCCCCCUUCACAAAUCGCACUGACGGCUAUUCUGAACAGCGCUUCGAGGGCUGGUCUUAGCAUGGAGAGCUACCUGACUGAAUCCCUGUCACUGAAGGAGGAUAAAGAGACCCUCUUAAAGAUGUAUGACUCUAUGAGGCGCAUGAAGGCUCUCCUGAAUCAGUAUGAGCUUCCCAAAGCAGAGGAGGUGAAUGUCUACAAACAGAAGCUGGAAAGGAUUCAUGCCGAGUUUACCACUUCAAGCACGUAAGGAGAUGAAGGUUAUGUUAUUUUGCCUUGCAGCAAACGAAAGCGAGGAUAUGAGGAAGAUGGCCAUGUUGCAAAAGAACCGCGACUGGCAGAAGAGGAAUGGACUGAUGAAGACCUGCUUUGAGCUCUACCCGGCUAUUAAGCUACUGUUAACUUAUUGUACAGCUAAUCGUCAACAGGACAGAUGUGACCAAGCCCAGUUUGUACAUAUUUUACUUACUUUCCUGGCCUUGCAUGAAUCCACAUUUAGUUUUGCUCUGCAUAUUUUUCUACAGUGUAUGUUUCUGUUAAUAAUAAAAGUGGGGGAAUCUUUGAAAUGUCA